ACUCCUACGGGAGGCAGCAGUGGGGAAUAUUGCACAAUGGGGGAAACCCUGAUGCAGCCAUGCCGCGUGUGUGAAGAAGGCCUUGGGUUGUAAAGCACUUUCAGUAGGGAGGAAGGUAGUGUAGUUAACACCUGCAUUAUUUGUACGUUACCUACAGAAGAAGCACCGGCUAACUCCGUGCCAGCAGCCGCGGUAAGUACGGAGGGUGCGAGCGUUAAUCGGAAUUACUGGGCGUAAAGCGCAUGCAGGCGGCCUGUUAAGUCAGAUGUGAAAGCCCGGGGCUUAACCUCGGAAUUGCAUUUGAAACUGGCAGGCUAGAGUCUGUAGAGGGGUUAGAAUUUCAGGUGUAGCGGUGAAAUGCGUAGAGAUCUGAAGGAAUACCGAGUGGCG
This 390-nucleotide ribosomal RNA is filed under the name uncultured bacterium. Its description in RNAcentral is "bacterial SSU rRNA". It matches the Rfam family "Bacterial small subunit ribosomal RNA", at positions 335 to 717 of the family's 1533-position model. The record is from RNAcentral.